AUGUCCACCGACGCCGAACGUGCCGCCGCCGAGAAGGAGAAAGUUGAAGCCAACAAGAAGGCCGCCGAGGGUGCCGCUGCUGCUGUCACCGCCGUCACGGCUUCUGCAUGGCCUACUGGAGGGUAUAACGCGUUUAUCCCUCUCCUGAUUAUUACCGUAUUAGCAGUACUAACAUCAUGUGUAGAUUUGUCUACUGUUUGCGUAGUACGUGCUUGUUUAGAUCAGUAUCAGUAUGUCGUUCAUCAUGUCAAUGCCAUGCUAGUCAUAUACUUAUGGAUUAAAUUAGUCGAAAAAUUGCCUAUUUACUCAGCAGUCCAUAGUAACAAGGCAAACAACUAUAAAUAUAUUUCCUUUUCUUUUUUGCCUUUUGAAAUGUGA
RNAcentral lists this ribosomal RNA (378 nucleotides) under Triticum aestivum (bread wheat). RNAcentral describes it as "partial small subunit ribosomal RNA". The record is from RNAcentral. Lineage: Eukaryota; Viridiplantae; Streptophyta; Magnoliopsida; Poales; Poaceae.